RNAcentral lists this transfer RNA (72 nucleotides) under Camelus bactrianus (Bactrian camel). It matches the Rfam family "tRNA". Rfam says of the family: Transfer RNA (tRNA) molecules are approximately 80 nucleotides in length. Their secondary structure includes four short double-helical elements and three loops (D, anti-codon, and T loops). Further hydrogen bonds mediate the characteristic L-shaped molecular structure. tRNAs have two regions of fundamental functional importance: the anti-codon, which is responsible for specific mRNA codon recognition, and the 3' end, to which the tRNAs corresponding amino acid is attached (by aminoacyl-tRNA synthetases). tRNAs cope with the degeneracy of the genetic code in two manners: having more than one tRNA (with a specific anti-codon) for a particular amino acid; and 'wobble' base-pairing, i.e. permitting non-standard base-pairing at the 3rd anti-codon position. Lineage: Eukaryota; Metazoa; Chordata; Mammalia; Artiodactyla; Camelidae. RNAcentral also lists the same sequence under 1 other name. The record is from Rfam by way of RNAcentral.
GAGGGUGUAGCUCAAUGGUACAGUAUGUUCUUAAGAUGCACAAGGUCCUGGGUUCAAUCCCCAGCACAUCCA